RNAcentral lists this long non-coding RNA (306 nucleotides) under Aedes aegypti (yellow fever mosquito). RNAcentral describes it as "lncRNA AAEL022767". The record is from RNAcentral. Lineage: Eukaryota; Metazoa; Arthropoda; Insecta; Diptera; Culicidae.
GAACACGGAGGAUAAGUGCGAGAAUGCCGCAAAACAGUGAAAUGGACGCUGUAAGGAAAACCCUUUGGCUGCAGCAGUAAUUCGAGCAUGACUUGGAGCUGUGAAUCAACCAACAGAAAUGUAUUCGCUGCUCAAAACCUUCGUUCCAAAACCUGCAUGCAGAUUCGCAGGAGGAGUCGUCGAAAGGAUAUCUGGGGUUAAAACUUACCCAUGUCGGUGUGAUAAAUAAAAAUAGCCUAGCUGUGAACAUAAAUUAUGCUGUACAAAAUGUGAUGUGAUAGAAAUAAAACAAAAAAAUAAUUCAAA